Molecule: long non-coding RNA, 1109 nt
Filed under: Olea europaea subsp. europaea
Lineage: Eukaryota; Viridiplantae; Streptophyta; Magnoliopsida; Lamiales; Oleaceae
Source: RNAcentral
CCAAUUUCCAAAUUGAUGUUACAGAAAAUAAUAGAAAAGUCCCAACAAUGACAAAAUCAUGGAUCAGACAUAGAAGAGCACUUGGAAUUAAAGUCAUAUACAACAUUGCCAAAAAUUUGCGUGCUUAUGCCAAUAUGAAAAUUGGAUGCUAGUAUCUAAUGGAGGAUAUGCAAAAUCAGGAAUUUUAAAGGACUAUAUUACAAGGUUUGAUAUACAUCAAUUUCCAGGAUAUCCUACCACUAUAAAAGAAUCCUGCCAGUUAAGGGAGUGCCCCAACUGCAUGUGAAGAAAUGAAAAAGAAGACAAAGUACCUUUUGACAAAGGUGUAUGAAGGACAAUAAUACUACAUGUAAAGACAUUGACUAUGAAAAGCAAUAAUAGAAAAAAAUGCUUUUUGGAUAAGAAACCAACAUGUGAAGAUGUAGGCCCAAGGAAGAAAAUAGAAGGCAAGAGUGUCUUUGCCGAUGUAAUAAAUGAUGUAAUAGAGUCUCAAAAACUUGUAUAAAUAGAGACAUUACCAUAGAAGAAUAUCAUCCUAUCCUAUCUUGAAUUCUUGAGUUGUAAGUAAUAGCCUAUUCUCAGUUUGAAAAACCAGUUUUUCUGGAAAUCCCUUUGUACCAAAUAUAAGUCUUGUAUCAAUCCUAAUAGAAAUAAAAUUCUAAUAUUUUGAUAUCAAUAUGAGUUUCUAAAUUCUUUUUCCAUAGAUUCUUGAAAGAUCUAAUAGAAAGUUUCCUUCUUAUUUUAGCAAAAAUGGAGUUUUCUUUAACAGAAGUCUAGAAUUUUAUUCUUUAGAAACUGAUACAGUGAGAGCAAGUAGUUGAAAUAGUAACAAUUCCGUGAAGGCAGGAGACCUUUGAAGGAAGCAGUUUACAAAUUCAGAGCUCGAAGGUCACUUGGUUCUAAGAAUGCAAGUCUAGAUCAAAUCUAAGGUAAAAUUAUUAAACUUUUGCUAAAAUUAGAAUGAAUCUUUUAAAGGUCUUAAAAGAAUCGCAUGGAUAAUUGCAUGAUGAUUAUUUUGAUAAAUGCCAGGAUAUACAGUUGAAGGAUUAGAUAAUUUAUUAGAAAGAAUGUUAGAAGAAAUAAAGAGUAUUAUAUCUCAAUUAAAAAAU